AUUCUUUAUUCCACAACUUGAACUUCUAACCAUUCUUUCUCCAUUCCAUCAUGGGCUUGAUGCUAAAUUAUGUAUUAUAAUACAUGUUUAUUCAUAAUAUGGGCCACCUGUAUGCAAAUGUUAAUCUCUUGGACCAGUGCUCAUAUCAGGUUCUGAAUAGUCAAGAUGCUCUCUCCUUUAUUUUGUGUUUUCAUUAUAUUUUUAUUUAAAGUAGUAUUGUUUUUAUCUAAUAGAAAAUAUGGUCAGUUAAAAAAUACGAAAAACAGAAAAGUUCAAAAAAUAUAUAACCAGUAAUCUCACUACCCAGAAAUAGUUACUGUUACCACUUCAGUUUCUUUAUCUUCCAACCCUCACUACUGUCUAACUAUUCUUUAUUUUAAACUUUUUUUUUAAAGUGGUACUGAACUGAAUAAACUAUUUUUAGCUUAUUUCCCCCCCCUUUCACUUAACAAUAUGCAAGCAGUUACAUACUUUCCUGGGUGACAUGUUUCUGAAAAAUGUGUUUGAACACCAAAUGUUAAGGCCGAUAGCAGACUCAUUUUAACAGAGUGAGGGUAGAGGAGAGAGAGUCCUUCCCAGGGGGAAAAAGAUGCUACAAAAUAUGCCAUGUGGUUUCUGCAGGCAUAGCUUUUCUUAGGCUUCAGCAGGCAGAGAGAGAGGCUUUCCUGGCCCCAGUAAAGACUGGCAGACAUUACCAGCUUAGACACCAAUGCUGAGGCACCAACCAUUGCGUGGGAACUGGGAGUCAGUUCGGGAAUUUCCCCUUCAUUUUUGCUCAUUUUUCCACUUCUAUGUCUCUGUAAGGCCUUGGAGGAAGGUAGGGAUUUUUUGUUCUUUAAUUACUGCAGAAAGUGCUAUUUAUCUGAUUAUGACAUUAAAUUUUACCACCUUUACUUUUAAAAUUUUAAAUAUUUAAUUUAUUUAUUUGGCCACACCUGCAGCUUAACAGAAGUUUUUGGGCCAAAGAUUGAAUCUGAGCUAUAGCUACACCAAUGCCAGAUCCUUAACCCACCCUGCCAGUCUGGGGACCAAACCCACACAUUUGCAAAGAUAAUGCCAGGUCCUUAACCCACUGCACCAUAGUGGGAACUCCUACUACCCUUACUUUUGAGAAGCUUACAAUUUCUUUUUGGCUUGCAAUCACCAGACUGAGGAGGAACCUAGCCCUGAAAAUAUUUUUUUUUAUUUUUUGCUUUAUAGGGCUGCACUUGCGGCAUAUGAAAGUUCCCAAGCUUGGGGCCAAAUGGGAGCUGCAGCUGCCAGCCUACAUCAUAGCCACUGCAGUGUGGGAUCCAAGCUGCAUCUUUGACGUAUACCACAGCUCACAGCAGUGCUGCAUCCUUAACCCACUGAGUGAGGCCAGGGCUGGAACUGGCAUCCUCAUGGUUACUAGUCAGCUUUUUAACCUGUGGAGCCAUGGAGGAUCUCCAUAGCCCUGAAUUAAUUAAUCAAAUAAAUAACUAUUGAAAUGAAUAUACAUUGAUAAUAGAGCUUGUAUCAAUUUCCUAGGGCUGCCAUAACACAUGACUACACACUGAGUGAUUUAGAACAGCCAAGAUGUGUCCUCUACCAACUCUGGAGUCCAGGGCUCAGAAAUGUGGGUGUUGCUGGAGCUGCACUCCCUCCAGGGGCUGUAGGGGAGCCUCCUUCUUUGUUUCUUUGAAUUUCUCCAGGCUGUUGGCCCCUUCAUUUCCUGCCUUUACCUUCAUAUGGCCUUCUCCUCUGUGGGCUUCUCUUCUUCUUGAUCUUAGAAGGACAUAUCAUUGGAUUCAGGGCCCAUUGGAAUAAUGCAGGCUGCUCUUAUCUAAAGAUCCUUAAGUACAUCCUCAAAGACCCUUUUUCCAAAGAAGAUCCCAUUCACAGUUUCGGGGUGGACAUAUCUUUUGGGGAGGGGCUGGUAUAGAGGGAAGCCUAAGCCAGAUACUUUGAACAUGGGCUGAUAUGAGAGAGAUUUAAGUGAGUAGCUAUAACACAGUACAGUAAAUGCUAGAAAACAGGCCUAGUACAAUUGCUUUUGGAACACAGAAGGGUGGAAAUUUGGGAUGCGGGCAUGCGGAUGUCCAGGAAGCCUCGUAUAGAAUGACAUUUCAGGAUGAAAUAGAGUGAUUUGUUCUGGGCCUUGAUAAAUGACUUUUUUUUUUUUUUUUUUUUUUUUUGGUCUUUUUGACUUUUUUAGGGCUGUUUCCGUGGCAUAUGGAAGUUCCCAGGCUAGGGGUCAUAUCAGAGCUGUAGCCACCGGCCUACACCACAGCCACAGCAAUGCAGGAUCCGAGCCGCAUCUGCAACCUACACCACAGUUCAUGGCAGCGCUGGAUCCUUAACCCACUGAGCAAGGCCAGGGAUCGAACCUGCAACCUCAUGGUUCCUUAGUUGGAUUUGUUAACCACUGAGCCAUGACGGGAACUCCAAAAAGACAUUAUUAAAAAAAAAAUUGUUAAAAUAACCAUAGUUUCAAAUAAGUAUGGUUAUUUUAAAUAUGGAUGGUGAGUGAUGAGGAUUGGUACUUGGUAUUAGAGAAUGGUGGGGACUGUGGUGAACUGGAGAGCAAAUAUGGUAACUGGGGGGAUUGUCAGGUCUACAGGGGCCAAAGAACCACACUUUCACCCCCUCCACUGAAAUUUGACCAGAGUUUUCCUGUGGGAGCUUGGGUGUCCUGGGCUUUGAAGCAGUGAGCUCCUGAGUGCCUUCCACUAAGUGUAUUAAGAUUUUCUUUCCUUCUGAAGGCUUUGUUCUAAUCUAGUUCAACCUCUCUUCAUUUCUUCUCUGGAGUGUUCUUACAGGCUUACCCCAUUUGCCCCUGCUUUUUGCAUCCAGCCCAUCUCUCUACCUCAUCUAUCUUUUCUCUGAGUCAUUCUUAUGUCCAUCUACCCCAAAUUAUAUUUUGUUAUUUCGUUUCUUUCUUUCUUUUUUUUUUUUUUCCUGCACUCGCAGCAUAGGGAAGUUCCCAGGCCAGGAACUGAAUCUGAGGUGGAGCUAUGACCUACACCACAGCUAUAGCAAUGCUGGAUCCUUAACACACUACACCAGGCAGGGGAUCGAACCCAUGCUUCAGCAGUGACCCUAACCACUGUAGAGACAAUGCCAGAUCUUUAACCUACUGCACCAAAAUGGGAACCCCCACUUACUUAUUUUCAUGUCAGGUUUCACCACCUGUAUGAAAGCUCUUUGAGGGAGGAAACCAUGUGUUACUUACUUUUUUAUUCUAACUCUCUCUCCAAUAGAUAUUACUCAAGGGUCCUUGGUAAAUAAACAAAUUGGGAAGAAAAUGCUCAUUCAGUGUUCAGUGCUAUCAGAGUCCUGUUUUGUGGAAGGAAGCAUAUACAAUCUCAUUUCAAAUUUAUCUUCUACUCUCAAUGUCUAUUUUUUCCCCUAAAAUCAAGUUACUAUGUUGCAACUCCCAUAUAAAAAUCAAUAUGCUAGGCUGCUGAUAAUGUCCCUUGUUCUUAUUUAGGAUGCUUAGAAUUUUGAACAAGGGUGGGCAGGUUUUCAAACCUGAACUUCAACUGUCAAUGAAGAAAUGUUUCAGCUAAUGAUCAUCCACAUUGGUAUCAGGCAAACAUGUGUGGGGCUCUAGGAAAAACCAAUUCACUUGUCAAUACCUCCCUAAUCUAACUUGCUACUGCUGCACAGAUAAUACUGCUCCUUAUUUCCUGGGCUGUCAUUCUAGCAAGAUUCAGAGCUGAUGAGGCUAAAAGACCUCCACAGAGCACCACCUAAACCGCAGUUUAGUUCAUAAGACACUGCUAGGUAGGUGGAUGAACCCCAGUUCUGCAUUUGAAGGCUGCUCUCACAACCCUUCUCAGGAUCUGUAUCAGGGAUCACAAAUUCAAAUGCAGGAGGCAUAAGUGAGAAAAGUGGGCUUACGCUAGCAUAAAAGAAGGGUGGGGACUGUGGCAUAUUGGACAGCAAGUGCAGUAGGGCAGCCGCCCCAAGCUCCUGCCAUUUGUUGCUGCUUGAGAAUGUGGGCCUAGUAUUGGCGUGUUGACAGAUAUUCAAGUGUUUGAAGGGAAGAUAAAAAUCUGGAUUUUUUUCUGUGCCAUCUCUACACUUUCAAAACACAGUGUGGAAGGAAAAGAAAAUAGACAGCUAUUUUGCAACUCCCAAAUAAAAAUCAAUGUGCUAAGCUGCCGAUAACUUCCCUUGUUCUUAUUUAGGAUGUGUAGGACUUUGAACAAGUAUGGGAGAGUUUUCAAACCUGAUCUGCAGCUUUUCCCAAAAGAUUUUCCCCUUUUCAAAAUUGAAAUUUUAUAGGAUAACCAUGUGAAAAGGAAGGAGAAAAUGAAGCUUAUGGGCAAUCAAUUUUUUUUUUUUAAAACAGCCUUAUCAUCAUAUCCAGGAAAUUUGAGGAAGCAGUUCUGAAGGUGAUUUUUUUCUUUAAAUCUGAACAGAUUCAGUCUGGUUUUCAAAUGGCAAAACUGACUAAUGGUUACUUGUUAAGAUGGUUCUUGGUGUUAUAGGAGUUUUAAAGUGAUCUGACUGUCUCUUUAACUGUCAGGGGUUCCCUGUACGGUAGGUGUCUUUUCCCCUCAAUGAAAUCUGGGUACACACUUCCCUGGGGGAGGAUUUUAAUUUUUUCAGUCAAUUCCCUGUCUCCAUGCCCCCAGAUAUUGAAUCGACUCCGUGCUGUAAACACGCAUGUUUGUGCAGCCCCACAACUUAACCCUUUUAACUUCAGGGAUUUCUGACAUGCUGAAGCUCAUGGAAGGAUCCAGGUCAGCACCCCCUGGCUUGUCAUGAAACCAUAAAUAAGCAGAUGGGAGGUGGGCACGGUUCUGAUGUGCCAGGCACCAUGUGACAUUUUACAUGCAUGCUCUCAUCUAAUCCUCAGUAUAACAAUCUCAUAUGGCAGCAAUAGCAUUACCACCUUCUGAGUAAAUAGAGGUGUACAUAUAAUAGCAAAGGAAAAGAUAGCACUUUAAGGAUGCAUGGCCCACAUGUACUAGUCAAGGGACUGUCAUAUUGUAGAAGUAGAGCCUUGGCCUCAGGUAGGACAGGCUUUGGAACCUGGCUCUCCUGAGUUGCGUAACUUCUCUGAGGCUCAGUUUUUUUUUCUUCCUGGGCCUCGUAAGUACCUGGCUCAUCAUGAUGGAAGUAUAAUGUGUAUGAAUUUGCAGAUCCAAUGCUUAAGUGCAGGAAAUAUCCCAUUAUGGAUUUUUUUCCCUAAAAGCAAGUUCAAUCUGUUGCUAGUCCAUAUUUUGAUGACGGGGCAGAAAAUUCACUGCCAGUCAUGGCUGAGAUUUGCUUCUCCUUGGCCCCUGGUGCGUAGAGGUAGCAAGGUUAUUCUCUUUGAGCAAACAGGAGCUCAUGUCACUUGUGGAAAAUGGCAAUAUGCUCCCACCGAAGUGGACCAACUCUAAACAAUUAUAUGACCAGCAUAGAAAGAAACCAACUCACAGGAAUUCCCUUGCGGCUCAGCAGAUUAAGGAUCCAGCAUUGCCACAGCUGCUGUGUGGAUUCAGUCCCUGGCC
RNAcentral lists this long non-coding RNA (5468 nucleotides) under Sus scrofa (pig). Its description in RNAcentral is "lncRNA (ENSSSCG00000061432.1)". Lineage: Eukaryota; Metazoa; Chordata; Mammalia; Artiodactyla; Suidae. The record is from RNAcentral.